Molecule: ribosomal RNA, 490 nt
Filed under: uncultured bacterium
Lineage: Bacteria
Description: partial 16S ribosomal RNA
Rfam family: Bacterial small subunit ribosomal RNA
Source: RNAcentral
AUUGAACGCUGGCGGCAGGCCUAACACAUGCAAGUCGAACGGUAACAGGAAGAAGCUUGCUUCUUUGCUGACGAGUGGCGGACGGGUGAGGAAUGUCUGGGAAACUGCCUGAUGGAGGGGGAUAACUACUGGAAACGGUAGCUACUACCGCAUAACGUCGCAAGACCAAAGAGGGGGACCUUCGGGCCUCUUGCCAUCGGAUGUGCCCAGAUGGGAUUAGCUAGUAGGUGGGGUAACGGCUCACCUAGGCGACGAUCCCUAGCUGGUCUGAGAGGAUGACCAGCCACACUGGAACUGAGACACGGUCCAGACUCCUACGGGAGGCAGCAGUGGGGAAUAUUGCACAAUGGGCGCAAGCCUGAUGCAGCCAUGCCGCGUGUAUGAAGAAGGCCUUCGGGUUGUAAAGUACUUUCAGCGGGGAGGAAGGGAGUAAAGUUAAUACCUUUGCUCAUUGACGUUACCCGCAGAAGAAGCACCGGCUAACUCCGUG